AACGAACGCUGGCGGCGUGCCUAACACAUGCAAGUCGAACGAGAAAGGGGCUUCGGCUCCGAGUAAAGUGGCGCACGGGUGAGUAACACGUAGGUAACCUGCCUCUAAGAUUGGGAUAACUUGUCGAAAGAUGAGCUAAUACCAAAUAAGACCACGGUUCCCUCGGGGACAGAGGUCAAAGGUAGCCUCUAUUUAUAAGCUAUCGCUGAGAGAUGGGCCUGCGUACCAUUAGCUAGNGGUGAGGUAACGGCUCACCAAGGCAAAGAUGGUUAGCUGGUCUGAGAGGAUGAUCAGCCACACUGGAACUGAGACACGGUCCA
This 320-nucleotide ribosomal RNA is filed under the name uncultured bacterium. RNAcentral's name for it is "bacterial SSU rRNA". It matches the Rfam family "Bacterial small subunit ribosomal RNA", at positions 29 to 333 of the family's 1533-position model. The record is from RNAcentral.